UAAGGCUGAGACACGACGUCGAGCACCUACGGGUGUGAAGUCAUUGAUGCCAUGCUUCCAGGAAAAGCCUCUAAGCUUCAGAUUGUAAGGAAUCGUACCCCAAACCGACACAGGUGGUCGGGUAGAGAAUACCAAGGCGCUUGAGAGAACUCGGGUGAAGGAACUAGGCAAAAUGGUACCGUAACUUCGGGAGAAGGUACGCUCUUGAUGGUGAAGUCCCUCGCGGAUGGAGCUGACGAGAGUCGCAGAUACCAGGUGGCUGCAACUGUUUAUUAAAAACACAGCACUGUGCAAAAUCGUAAGAUGACGUAUACGGUGUGACGCCUGCCCGGUGCCGGAAGGUUAAUUGAUGGGGUUAGACUUCGGUCGAAGCUCUUGAUCGAAGCCCCGGUAAACGGCGGCCGUAACUAUAACGGUCCUAAGGUAGCGAAAUUCCUUGUCGGGUAAGUUCCGACCUGCACGAAUGGCGUAAUGAUGGCCACGCUGUCUCCACCCGAGACUCAGUGAAAUUGAAAUCGCUGUGAAGAUGCAGUGUACCCGCGGCUAGACGGAAAGACCCCGUGAACCUUUACUACAGCUUGGCACUGAACAUUGACCCUACAUGUGUAGGAUAGGUGGGAGGCUUUGAAGCACGUACGCCAGUAUGUGUGGAGCCGUCCUUGAAAUACCACCCUUGUAGUGUUGAUGUUCUAACGU
This 696-nucleotide ribosomal RNA is filed under the name Vibrio parahaemolyticus. RNAcentral describes it as "partial 23S ribosomal RNA". It matches the Rfam family "Bacterial large subunit ribosomal RNA", at positions 1551 to 2228 of the family's 2925-position model. Lineage: Bacteria; Pseudomonadati; Pseudomonadota; Gammaproteobacteria; Vibrionales; Vibrionaceae. The record is from RNAcentral.